GAUGAACGCUGGCGGCGUGCCUAAUACAUGCAAGUCGAGCGAACAGACGAGGAGCUUGCUCCUCUGACGUUAGCGGCGGACGGGUGAGUAACACGUGGAUAACCUACCUAUAAGACUGGGAUAACUUCGGGAAACCGGAGCAAAUACCGGAUAAUAUAUUGAACCGCAUGGUUCAAUAGUGAAAGACGGUUUUGCUGUCACUUAUAGAUGGAUCCGCGCCGCAUUAGCUAGUUGGUAAGGUAACGGCUUACCAAGGCAACGAUGCGUAGCCGACCUGAGAGGGUGAUCGGCCACACUGGAACUGAGACACGAUCCACACUCCUACAGGAGGCAGCAGUAGGGACUCUUCCGCAAUGGGCGAAAGCUUGACGGAGCAACGCCGCGGGAGUGAUGAAGGUCUUCGGACCGUAAAACUCUGUUAUUAGGGAAGAACAAAUGUGUAAGUAACUAUGCACGUCUUGACGGUACCUAAUCAGAAAGCCACGGCUAACUACGUG
RNAcentral lists this ribosomal RNA (497 nucleotides) under uncultured bacterium. RNAcentral describes it as "partial 16S ribosomal RNA". It matches the Rfam family "Bacterial small subunit ribosomal RNA", at positions 28 to 507 of the family's 1533-position model. The record is from RNAcentral.